UGUAGUGUGACCGAGCGAGAGGCAGUGAGCUGUACCUCACCCACUGGGGCGUACCCCACGUUACCUAGCC
RNAcentral lists this transfer RNA (70 nucleotides) under Lygodactylus aff. capensis. RNAcentral describes it as "tRNA-Tyr". The record is from RNAcentral. Lineage: Eukaryota; Metazoa; Chordata; Lepidosauria; Squamata; Gekkonidae.